CCGUAUUUAUAUGAUGCGAUAAACAGAAACUACCUGGCCCCCCUCGCCGUGUGCGGCACGGCUGUUUCGUUUAAUCUUCGCUAUUGUCGCGAGGGGCGCACGGCCUCGCGGCCACGGGAAACCGAUUUCCGCGUUGUCUCAUUGCCGCACGUUCUCAUCUUUUUCGCGUGUAGGGCUAUUUCAGGACGAAUCGAUCAUUAGUUUUGCGCUGUGUGUUUAGGUACCUUGAGGGUGAUGAGAUGUGACGUAGGGAUGGUGUAUUCUGUAUAUAUUAUUACAGUAAAAGAGCCGUUCAUUGCACAAGUCGAUUAACUCCAUGAAACAAAAUGUUGAGAAAUGGGAUUAAAUAUAAAAACGAACGGCUGAAAUGUCAUUAUUUUAUCGCGAUGCAUUGGACGGAUGCCCGGCACAACUGCACGUAAAAGGAAUCUUGAAUCUCGCGACGUUCUCCGAAUAGCAGUGCACGCAUCAGACCACUGAGGUACAAAGGAAGAUUGAUGGAAGCUGAUUCUCUCCAUCUCUCUUGGGCCUCCACUGUCAGCUCCUCCAGAACGUUGCACGAGCCGCGACGUAAUGGAUGAUGCAACACAGGUGGCUGGCAGUCUUCGAUGAAAAAUUAAUUGAGCCUAGAAAAUACACAUUUUUCAUCUUAAUAAGAUACCUGAUGGAAACUAGUUAAUCAAGAUUAAUUUAGUAAUUUGCAGUCGCAUUGGUUUUAAUUGUGAUGUGCAGCAAUAAAGGGAGAAUAUAUACAUGUAAGUAUAGACUUAGAUGCAAGUAAUUGAAGAAUUUGUUUAGAGGUAUUUGUUCAUUAAUUUUUGCAUUAUUUUUAACAAUUUGUUUACCUACUUGUAAACAAUACCUCUCAUAUUUUUUAUCACAUUCCUUUCAAAUCACUUUCUAAUCACAGAAAUUGCAAUUGCUUUUUAAAUCAUCGUAUCCUUCUAAUAGACUCUCUUUGUCACUUCGUGAGGGAACGUUCAAUACCUUGACAGGGUUUGAAGCUUCCAUAAAAUAAAUUCAUGGGAGAUAGAUAAUCUCUCCCGGCGUCAAGACGUAAAUAGCAAUUCUAGAAGAAAAAUUAGCUGUUAAGCGUCAGCGAGAUUGGGUUUUUAAAGAAAUUUGCCACCUUCCGGAAGUGUCUGCGAGGCGACAUAUUUAGCAAAGUCUUUUUCUGUCGUCCUCUCGAUGAAAUCUGCCGAGACAACGACGAGGGUAGGCGGAUGAUUUUCACCCCCCGAAGCGAGGGAAAAAUUAACGGUGGUCGUUACGGAGGUAGACGCAAUUUUGAUUCUAUCUGUUGUCGACGCACGGGGACGAAGCAGCAGAUGAAGUCGCAAAGUAAUACCUGAAAAUCUCACGAAGAGCAAAACGGCGAAAGUUAUCUCGUAAGCCCCUAAUAAUUUUCAUCGCUAAUACUUUCUUGCCUUACAUUCUCCUGGUUCUGUCCACUCUCACCUUUUUCCAGUACGAUUAUUCUCUUAAUAUUUUUCCUCUUAUUCCAUUAAAAUUAUGCACGAAGAACUUUUGAUUUCGGAGUAUUAUUGCUCAAUUAAAUAUUCACCUGUCGAAGACUCGUCCAUUGUUUGAUCGAUAGUGUCGCUGUGACGCGUAGCAUGGAGUAAUUAAUACGACAAAAAGUGAGUUGCCCAUUAUCUAAAAUGUAAUAUCUUCAUUAAUUGGCACUUAUAUUACUGGAACAAUGGCAACGUUUAAUGUCUUCGCUUUACAGCGUAUCUCUGACAUUCAACAAGUGAAAGCAAUUCUCACGUACAAAGGCGUAUGGUUCAUAGAGGUACA
Hylaeus anthracinus is the source of this 1800-nucleotide long non-coding RNA. RefSeq lists it as uncharacterized. The record is from RefSeq and is a predicted model, not a curated record. NCBI's taxonomy places the organism in Eukaryota, Metazoa, Arthropoda, Insecta, Hymenoptera, Colletidae. The transcript has 3 exons.